GUGCUCAUUUUGGCAGCACAUACACCAAAAGUGGAUCAAUACAAAGAAGAUUAGCAAGCCCCCCUGCGCAAGGAUGACAAGCAAAUCUGUGACGCAUUCCAUUAAAAA
This 108-nucleotide small nuclear RNA is filed under the name Mustela putorius furo (domestic ferret). Lineage: Eukaryota; Metazoa; Chordata; Mammalia; Carnivora; Mustelidae. The record is from RNAcentral.